Molecule: transfer RNA, 71 nt
Filed under: Marmota monax (woodchuck)
Lineage: Eukaryota; Metazoa; Chordata; Mammalia; Rodentia; Sciuridae
Description: tRNA.Val
Rfam family: tRNA
About the family: Transfer RNA (tRNA) molecules are approximately 80 nucleotides in length. Their secondary structure includes four short double-helical elements and three loops (D, anti-codon, and T loops).
Source: RNAcentral
GGGGUUGUAGAUCAGUGGCAGAGUGCUUGCCUCACAUGUAUGAGGCCCUGGGUUUGAAUCUCAGCACCACA